AUGGAGGACGCCCGCAGCACGUGGGACAGCCCGAGCCACCCCACGCCAACAAUGGCAGCAGCAGGCUCGACGGCGAGCAUGAAGCUCUUCGUGGACGCGGGCGCGCGGCGCGUGGUGUUCGCGGAGGCCGGCAAGGACGUGGUCGACUUCCUCUUCUCCCUCCUGGCCCUGCCGCUCGGCCGGGCGGACCGGCUGCUCGCCCCGCUCGGCGGCGCGGGCGGCUCCGUCGGCAACCUCUACGCCAGCGUGGAGCGGCUGGACCCGGCGCACGUCCAGCCCGGCGUGGCCGACAAGAAGGCGCUCCUCCACCCCACCGUGCUCUCCCCGCCGGCGCGCGUCGAGCACAGCUUCCACCCGCGGAGGGAGCUCUACACGUGCCCUAGUGCCGGUAUCUACUGCUUGGAGUGCGCCAGGAACGUGACGGACUGGAAGGGCACCAGGUGCCCGUCCUGCGGCGACGAGAUGACGCUGGAGGCGCGGUACGUGCCGCCGGCGCCCAGGUUCUCAUCGACGGCCGGCAAAGGCGAGGCGGGCGUGGCCGCGCCAGAGGGGUUCGUCCGUGGCGGCGCCGCGACGAGGUACAUAGUGACGGAUGACCUCCAGGUCCGCCCGUCGUCGGCGGGCGAGCUGGUCGCGCUGUGCCCGGCCCUCGGCCCCGCGGAUGUCGGGGCGCUCCGGGAGCUCGACGUGCAGCUUGGGUUCAAGGAGGGCAAAGAGAUCCUCAAGGCCGUGAUGAUGCAGUCCAGGACCGUGCUCACCGACGUUUUCCGAGUAGCCCAGCGGAGGAAACUCUUGGGUGAGGAAGACAAGGAGAAAAAGACAGCAGAGCGGGCAGCAUCAUGA
RNAcentral lists this ribosomal RNA (843 nucleotides) under Triticum aestivum (bread wheat). RNAcentral describes it as "partial small subunit ribosomal RNA". The record is from RNAcentral. Lineage: Eukaryota; Viridiplantae; Streptophyta; Magnoliopsida; Poales; Poaceae.